UAAGGGUAAUUUGGUUUGAAACCUAAGGUGGUUUCCAAACAUUUUACCUUACUA
Molecule: microRNA precursor, 54 nt
Filed under: Heligmosomoides polygyrus
Lineage: Eukaryota; Metazoa; Nematoda; Chromadorea; Rhabditida; Heligmosomidae
Description: microRNA hpo-mir-10056 precursor
Source: miRBase by way of RNAcentral